CCGAGCAGCGCAGUACUGCUUGCAUCGCGCUCUGCGUUUCGAUGUGUUUUUGGUAGACUAGUGCAUCCACCCACGGUACCGAGAUACCAGUCGACUCGUGAAGAUACAAGGAACACGGGUGUGCUGCCCACUUGGCCCUCGGUGACGCUCGUGAGGUCCAGCGAUCCUACAAAGCCGGACUACGGGGCGGCGUCGGUGAACCGACGCCAGCUCGGCGUCGGUAACCCGACGCCAGCUCGGCGCAGCAGCCGGUGCUGCUCCGACGCGUGAGGAACGCGAACGGCAGCAACCGUUCUGCCUGGGCAUGGCUACGGGAACGCUUAGCGAACUUCAGACGACGACGAGAAUGCAAGGUGAGACAACACCAGCAGAAAACAUGGAUGCCACAAAUGUAGACAGAACAGAAGACGGCAUAACAGGCUCCGCUCGCCACAACGCCGGGGAACGCCAGCGGACGGACGACGACUGGCAGACAGUCCUGACACUACGGCAAAAGAAGCAGCAGGCUCGAGAGCGCAAGCGACAAACGGACUCAACGGGCAGCACUAACCCGGCGAAACUAAAGAAACGACGAAGAGGCAUACCCAAACUUCCUCCUCUUCCUAAGGAUGACUUCAAGAUAGUUAUCCGACCACACCAGGGACUGCCUUUGAAGACUAUCAGCACGCCGGCCCUCGCCGAAGCGAUCGUCAUGGCCUGCGACUACCAAAUAAGAGGUGAGCAAUUUUUGCUCCGUAUAAAGCCCGGCUCCAAUAUCGCCAUACUUUCGACAUCGAGUCAGGAGGUCGCGGAGCAGGCACGCCGAGUCCACUCCCUCACUAUCAACGGACGUUCGCAUGACGUUAACGUAUACGCUGCCACCGGAGAGGAAGCUAUCCGAGGAGUUAUACACGGACUUCCACCCCGAACGCCACCGGAGACCAUCAUAGCAAACAUACGUAUACGGACUCAAGGCGUCGAACUUAUCCAAGCAAGAAUGAUCGGAGAAACAAAGAGUGCCGCCCUUACUUUCUGCGGCCCGUCACUACCUCGGGUGGUGUACUACAACGGAGGCGAACUCCUGUGUCAUCCUUACCGUGCUACUGUUCAGGUGUGCAAAACAUGCCAUGGAAAAGGGCAUCGGACAGACGUCUGUCCACAGCCGGACCUGCGAGUGUGCCGAAAUUGUGGACUCAGAAACCCAGUGGACGGACACCCGUGUGAGCCAAAGUGUGCCUCGUGUGAGGGUGCCCACGUCACCGGGGACCGCAGCUGCCAACGACGCCUCAAGCAACCGAAAAAACCUCAAGUCAGAAAGAGCACUGACAAGUGCAAUGAAGGGCAGAAAACACCUCGCUGGUUCGCCUCAGAGGAUGAGGAAUCGGACUACAUAAACGGCCAUAGGAGCGACCAACGCGACCGACAGGGAAGGACGAGAUCGCCAUCUCCACACCGACUGAACGCUCGGUCCCGAUCAGCGUCACCUCACCGGAGCAGAUCCCGCUCUCGAGCACGAGAGCGCGUCCAGGGAGGAGAAGCAAGACAGACGCGACGAUCAUCCAGAGAAGCACCGAAGGCGGCCGGCGUUCUGUCAAAUCCACAGGAUUUCCAAGGGCACGUGCUGAAUGACCCUACGAAAGACUUGGCAGAGGAUAUCGCGAAUGAAGAGGAAUGCCUGGUGCUGCAGCCACAUCGCCAGUCGUCCCGGAGGCGUGAGCUUGAGAUUGCCUGAGCUGCUCUGGCUGAGACGCGCUGCCUGCUGCUCUCUUGCACUGUAUGUAUAUUAGAUUCUGGUGGAGGUGCUGUGGUUUUCCACCAACCUGGAAUUACGCACCCAAACUCUGCCAUCCAUCAUGCCUGACGACCGCAGCCCGACAUACCCACCGGUUACUUCAGCCAUCGUUUCCAUCCCCUGUCCCAUCCCAAGACCUUACACGAGACGAAAACGGCUGGAACCAGCUCAGCACGCUAGGUACUAUUCCACCUAUUUGGUGGUCCCGUUAAUGUAGUGCAAGCAUUCGUACCUCCGCAAAUGCAUACACGUUUUUCUUUCUAGCUUGUAUCAAAAUCGACCUGAGAAUUAAAUUGUUUUCGCAAUCGUUCGAAUAGUCCCGACAUAAUACACAAGGCACAUUGCAGGAUUACUGGCUGCAAAAAUUUCACAAGUUAGCAUGCCCAGCUGAUAAAAUAAAAACGUAGUUCAGACACUGCCGAGCAACAGCUCCAGUGCUUUCGAAUUCCACCAUUUUAAGGCAUAGGUUUGUUACACUAGAAGUCUUUUUCUAGCACUCAUGUGCAGCAGUGCUUUUGUUGGGAAUAGAAUGGGUGUGUGCAGAAUUGACGAGCCAAAACACCUGCAGAAGAAAAUUGGGCAACUUCCCAUUGUGUGCAUAACAACGUCACUACAGUGUCGAUUCCCCCAAAAAGAGGAACGGCUCUUGAACACAUUGUAGUGUUUAUAGCAUCAUAUAUUCUGAAAAUUGAUUUAUGUUGAUCUCAGUCGACUUAAUGUGGCAGACAAUGACUGGGCAGGCUCGACUCGCUGCAAAUGCCCUAAUACUGAAAAAUUCAUUUCAAUUCCUUAUCAAGGAAAGGUCGAGUGCAUUGCCAUCAGAGCACAAAAAUCUGUAAACCUUCGUGCUUAUUGUGCAAGGAAAAUUAAAUUUUGGGGUUUUACGUAUGUGCCAAAACCACGAUCUGAUUAUGAGGCACGCCAUUGCGAGGGACCCUGGAUUAAUUUUGGACCAUCUGCAGUUCUCUUAACGUGUCCCCAAUGCAUGGUACACUGGCUUUUUCGCAUUUAAUUCCCACUGAAACCAAGGAAACUUGCAUGCACUGAACACUUGAUUUUAUUGGCUCUGUGCAACUGCAGUUCGGUGUGGUACAGUCAUAAGCAUUAG
Molecule: RNA transcript, 2879 nt
Organism: Dermacentor albipictus
Lineage: Eukaryota; Metazoa; Arthropoda; Arachnida; Ixodida; Ixodidae
Source: RefSeq, a predicted model, not a curated record